Molecule: ribosomal RNA, 460 nt
Filed under: uncultured bacterium
Lineage: Bacteria
Description: partial 16S ribosomal RNA
Rfam family: Bacterial small subunit ribosomal RNA
Source: RNAcentral
CCUACGGGUGGCUGCAGUGAGGAAUAUUGGUCAAUGGGCGCGAGCCUGAACCAGCCAAGUCGCGUGAGGGAUGACGGCCCUACGGGUUGUAAACCUCUUUUGCCGGGGAGCAACGGGCGCCACGUGUGGCGCCACUGAGAGUACCCGGAGAAAAAGCAUCGGCUAACUCCGUGCCAGCAGCCGCGGUAAUACGGAGGAUGCGAGCGUUAUCCGGAUUUAUUGGGUUUAAAGGGUGCGUAGGCGGUCCGGAAAGUCAGCGGUAAAAGCCCGGGGCUCAACCCCGGCGAGCCGUUGAAACUGUCGGACUAGAGACGGCGAGAAGUACGCGGAAUGCGCGGUGUAGCGGUGAAAUGCAUAGAUAUCGCGCAGAACUCCGAUUGCGAAGGCAGCGUACCGGCGCCGGACUGACGCUGAGGCACGAAAGCGUGGGUAUCGAACAGGAUUAGAUACCCGUGUAGUC